CCUAGGUGACCCUCACCUGCUGUCUGUUAACAGCGCGUGGGGUUCAAACGCUGACAGAACAGUGGCAAACCAAAAAAGGGGUGUUUGACUUGGUAAUUUUUUUUUUACCAGUCUGGUUGCUUUUGACAUGUAUGGGUUUCAGAUUUUCAGUUUUCACGUUCUCACUUACCUCGACGCCUCCAAACUCCAAACCGAAGCCGAGCAAAAAAAAACCGUAGAUCUGCAACAUCGCCGGUGAAAUUGGAUUCGAGUGUUGGUGUUGAAGAAGGAACAGCUAUUUGGGCUUGACGAAUGAGCAUGGAAAUGGAGAAAAUUGAUAGAAAAAAGGCGAGAUUGUCUAGGGUCGGCCAUCGGAAGACCGCAGAUCUGCCACAGCCCCCUUCAAUUUCUAUCCGAUUGUUUGUGUAGCAGGCGGCGCUGAAGAAGGAAAAGAUACCGGGCUUGAGCCUUUGAGAACAAGUCCAAAUCGAGGUCACUGAAUACCAGAGGAGGGGAGGUUCUCCAAGUGAAUUUUGUUAUAAGUCCCCGGCAAGCGGUUUUGGCGUGGCUAAAGUUUUGGAAUCUGGGGAUGCAAAGUUUAAGCAAGGCGACUUGGUUUGGGGAAUGACUGGCUGGGAAGAGUAUAGUCUCAUCACUUCCAUUCAGUAUUUGCUUUAAGAUUCCCACCACCGAAUCUUAAGAGUAUAGUCUCAUCACUUGGGACUGGCACCGAUGUGGAUGUGCCCUUCUCUUAUUAUACUGGAAUUCUUUGUAUAUAUCCCUGCUGCCCCUAUUAUUUCAAUUGCUAUUACUACCACUUUCUAAUUCUUCUUCUGCAAAAUUGCCUCUGCUUGAAACAAAAAGUUGGUGCAUUAUCUUCGUAUGUCACUCAUUGUAUUGGCUUCUUCUUAUUUAUGCUGAAUGGUGAGACUGGUGAAUCUAGGGUGAAACAGGAUAAGUCGGUCAGCUAUGAGUAGAGAAGAGGCAGUGACAAAUAAUUACAUGAAUGCUGUGAAAUAUGAUGCAGUAAACAUGUAAAAUGUUUGUCAUUAAUGAAUUCGAUUUCUGAUAGCUUUCAGUUCUCCUUACAGCUUUAUGUCCAUGCAUCUUUUUGGUAGUCUCUGUAUAUAGAAAUUUCUCCUAAAAAAAACAUCGGUUUUCUUUUCUUUUCCUUAAUUUCUUACCAACCUGAAAGUAGAUAUCUAUUUGUUUUCUGUAAAGUUCAGAAAUAUAGAAGUGAUCAUACUGGUGUUAAAGUUAGUUCCUUUAGAUUGAGCGAGUGAUCGAAGUUGUAGCAGAAAGAAGAACAUGAGAGUUUGGUCUGGGUUUGCCCCCAAAACACGUAUGGAUCUCUCUGCCAUUUCCCAAGUUUGAGACUUUGUAUUCGCCUUGACUGCCGGUGUGCAAAGCGGUGGAUAUAUAGAAUUUCAGAUUAAAUCUCCUCCAACACAGCAGAGUGCAUAGUUUGUGUGAAACGAUUAAAAAUGGCCGAUGAAGCCAACAGAGCUGCAUUCAUGGAGUUUCAAGGUCGCAUGAUGAGCUCACCACCAAACUGAAGCAGUUUUUUUUUUUACCCACUUCAGUACAGAUAUAUCAAAUAUGGUGAAAUCGUGACUCAUUAAUGGAGAAUUCAAAUAGAUUUAAGGUGCAGAACUAUAAGUAGUAUUAAUCAUUUCAAGAUGCUAAUGCUGGUGGUAUUAAUCAAAUAAGCUGAAGAACUAGCCGCCGCUCUAGCAGCAAGAAAGUGUCAUCCUGUAGAAAAUGAUACCGAUGCGGUAUGAAUAUCAAUUUCUUGAGAUGCUGAUCAGCUUUUGGAAUCUAAAAGGAAGGAUUCAUUGAUAUCGGUACUAUCUGUCAUGCGAUCCAGAUCAAGUAUGCUUUGUUCUGUCAGUCUGGCAUUCAAUAUGAUUCAGGCUUUAAUCUCCAGAUUUGUAACACAUAACGGUUGGUGGUACCAAGCAUGUCCACACUGUUUUCGACAACUGAAACAAAAGAAGAACAACGAUCUGCUAAUCUGUCUGGAACACAAUAUGCAAGUGCCUCUUCCAUGGUAACAACUUCAUCCUAACUACAUCAUAAUAUGGGGGCUUUUGACCAUUGGAGCAGUGCUCAAUUUUCUUGGAUGUGGAUUGCUUUGGCUUAUAGUCUCACAAAAGAUUGCUGCUUUGCCUUUGUGGGUGAUGAGUAGUUCAAUCAAGUUUGAAUCUUGAUCAUCAAGUCUGAUUUUGGGUUGUUUCUGUGUAUCGCUUCCCUUUUUUGUGGGUACCAAUAGUUAGCCUUUUUUGUUUCAUUCUGAUAUGUUUUGUCUGAUAACCUUGAUUACUGAGUUUAAUUCAUUACUGCAUUUUAUAUUUAUGCUUAGCGCUUCUGAAAUGAAAUUUUUGAGACUGA
This is a long non-coding RNA of Rosa rugosa (rugosa rose), 2370 nucleotides long. RefSeq lists it as uncharacterized. The record is from RefSeq and is a predicted model, not a curated record. NCBI's taxonomy places the organism in Eukaryota, Viridiplantae, Streptophyta, Magnoliopsida, Rosales, Rosaceae. The transcript has 8 exons.